Molecule: ribosomal RNA, 450 nt
Filed under: uncultured Synechococcus sp.
Lineage: Bacteria; Bacillati; Cyanobacteriota; Cyanophyceae; Synechococcales; Synechococcaceae
Description: bacterial SSU rRNA
Rfam family: Bacterial small subunit ribosomal RNA
Source: RNAcentral
AGGCUUUGAUCCUGGCUCAGGAUGAACGCUGGCGGCGUGCUUAACACAUGCAAGUCGAACGAACCUUCGGGUUAGUGGCGGACGGGUGAGUAACGCGUGAGAAUCUGCCCUCAGGAGGGGGAUAACGGCUGGAAACGGCCGCUAAUACCCCAUAUGCCGAGAGGUGAAACGAAUUUCGCCUGAGGAUGAGCUCGCGUCUGAUUAGCUAGUUGGUGGGGUAAAGGCUACCAAGGCGACGAUCAGUAGCUGGUCUGAGAGGAUGAUCAGCCACACUGGGACUGAGACACGGCCCAGACUCCUACGGGAGGCAGCAGUGGGGAAUUUUCCGCAAUGGGCGAAAGCCUGACGGAGCAACGCCGCGUGAGGGACGAAGGCCUCUGGGCUGUAAACCUCUUUUCUCAAGGAAGAAGAUCUGACGGUACUUGAGGAAUAAGCCACGGGUAUAUCCGU